RNAcentral lists this ribosomal RNA (253 nucleotides) under uncultured bacterium. RNAcentral's name for it is "partial 16S ribosomal RNA". It matches the Rfam family "Bacterial small subunit ribosomal RNA", at positions 524 to 776 of the family's 1533-position model. The record is from RNAcentral.
UACGUAGGGGGCAAGCGUUGUCCGGAAUCAUUGGGCGUAAAGAGCGCGUAGGCGGCCCUGUAAGUCCGCUGUGAAAGUCAAGGGCUCAACCCUUGAAUGCCGGUGGAUACUGCAGGGCUAGAGUCCGGAAGAGGCGAGUGGAAUUCCUGGUGUAGCAGUGAAAUGCGCAGAUAUCAGGAGGAACACCGAUGGCGAAGGCAGCUCGCUGGGACGGUACUGACGCUGAGGCGCGAAAGCGUGGGUAGCGAACAGG